RNAcentral lists this ribosomal RNA (501 nucleotides) under Solanum tuberosum (potato). RNAcentral describes it as "rRNA LSU_rRNA_eukarya". It matches the Rfam family "Eukaryotic large subunit ribosomal RNA", at positions 1891 to 2388 of the family's 3401-position model. The record is from Rfam by way of RNAcentral. Lineage: Eukaryota; Viridiplantae; Streptophyta; Magnoliopsida; Solanales; Solanaceae.
UGGAACAAUGUAGGCAAGGAAAGUCGGCAAAAUGAAUCCAUAACUUCGUGAAAAGAAAUAUGCUCGGAGUGUUUGGCAUGGGGGUCCUAGUACCAAACCCACUGGCUGUCGAUGAACUGCAUGAGCUGAUCCCGCGGAAAUAGUUGGUCGCCGUGUGCCGACCGGGGGACGGACUGGGAACGGUUCCUUCGGGGGCCUUCCCCGGGAGUCAAACAACCAAGUCAUAACUGUUACAAACAAGGGGAAUUUGACUAUUUAUUUAAAACAAAGCACUGUGAUGGUCCCAACGGAUGUUUACACAAUGUGAUUUUUGUCUAGUGCUAUGAAUGUCAAAGUGAAGAAAUUCAACCAUGCGGGGGUAAACGGUCGGAGUAACUAUGACUCUUUUAAGGUAGCCAAAUGCCUCUUCAUCUAAUUAAUGAUUCGUAUGAAUGUAUUAAUAAUAUUUCCACUGUCUCUGUCUAAUAUACAACGAAACCACAGCCAGGGGAACAUGAUUGG